Molecule: ribosomal RNA, 538 nt
Filed under: uncultured Pseudomonadota bacterium
Lineage: Bacteria; Pseudomonadati; Pseudomonadota
Description: bacterial SSU rRNA
Rfam family: Bacterial small subunit ribosomal RNA
Source: RNAcentral
CUUAUCUGGCCUCGACAUCCAGAGAACUUUCCAGAGAUGGAUUGGUGCCUUCGGGAGCUCUGAGACAGGUGCUGCAUGGCUGUCGUCAGCUCGUGUCGUAGAUGUUGGGUUAAGUCCCGCAACGAGCGCAACCCUUGUCAUUAGUUGCUACGCAAGAGCACUCUAAUGAGACCGCCGGUGACAAACCGGAGGAAGGUGGGGAUGACGUCAAGUCCUCAUGGCCCUUAUGGGUAGGGCUACACACGUCAUACAAUGGGCGGUACAGAGGGUUGCCAACCCGCGAGGGGGAGCCAAUCCCUUAAAACCGCUCGUAGUCCGGAUUGUAGUCUGCAACUCGACUGCAUGAAGUCGGAAUCGCUAGUAAUCGCGGAUCAGCUUGCCGCGGUGAAUACGUUCCCGGGUCUUGUACACACCGCCCGUCACACCAUGGAAGUGGGGUUUACCAGAAGUAGUUAGCUUAACCGCAAGGAGGGCGAUUACCACGGUAGGCUUCAUGACUGGGGUGAAGUCGUAACAAGGUAGCCGUAUCGGAAGGUGC